This 92-nucleotide ribosomal RNA is filed under the name Monilinia laxa. RNAcentral's name for it is "partial 28S ribosomal RNA". The record is from RNAcentral. Lineage: Eukaryota; Fungi; Ascomycota; Leotiomycetes; Helotiales; Sclerotiniaceae.
CGUUACAGGUUCUCGGUGUGCUUCUGCCAAAACCCAAAUUUUCUAUGGUUGACCUCGGAUCAGGUAGGGAUACCCGCUGAACUUAAGCAUAU